This 18-nucleotide transfer RNA is filed under the name Phasmatidae sp. STI20. Its description in RNAcentral is "partial tRNA-Leu". Lineage: Eukaryota; Metazoa; Arthropoda; Insecta; Phasmatodea; Phasmatidae. The record is from RNAcentral.
GAUAUUCUUUUAUUAGAA